CCUCCUUUCUAAGGAAAUUUUUUAAAAUCAUCAUCUUCAGUUUUGAAAGACUUAAGUUAAUUUAUUUAAAUAAGUUUUUCGUUUUUUUCAUUAGUUAAUUCUUUUAAUAUAAUAUUCUUUAAGAUUUUAA
Molecule: ribosomal RNA, 130 nt
Filed under: Coconut lethal yellowing phytoplasma
Lineage: Bacteria; Bacillati; Mycoplasmatota; Mollicutes; Acholeplasmatales; Acholeplasmataceae
Description: partial 16S ribosomal RNA
Source: RNAcentral